RNAcentral lists this ribosomal RNA (496 nucleotides) under uncultured bacterium. Its description in RNAcentral is "partial 16S ribosomal RNA". It matches the Rfam family "Bacterial small subunit ribosomal RNA", at positions 28 to 506 of the family's 1533-position model. The record is from RNAcentral.
GAUGAACGCUGGCGGCGUGCCUAAUACAUGCAAGUCGAGCGAACGGACGAGAAGCUUGCUUCUCUGAUGUUAGCGGCGGACGGGUGAGUAACACGUGGAUAACCUACCUAUAAGACUGGGAUAACUUCGGGAAACCGGAGCUAAUACCGGAUAAUAUUUUGAACCGCAUGGUUCAAAAGUGAAAGACGGUCUUGCUGUCACUUUUAGAUGGAUCCGCGCUGCAUUAGCUAGUUGGUAAGGUAACGGCUUACCAAGGCAACGAUGCAUAGCCGACCUGAGAGGGUGAUCGGCCACACUGGAACUGAGACACGGUCCAGACUCCUACGGGAGGCAGCAGUAGGGAAUCUUCCGCAAUGGGCGAAAGCCUGACGGAGCAACGCCGCGUGAGUGAUGAAGGUCUUCGGAUCGUAAAACUCUGUUAUUAGGGAAGAACAUAUGUGUAAGUAACUGUGCACAUCUUGACGGUACCUAAUCAGAAAGCCACGGCUAACUACGU